UUGAUUUAUUUGUUUUUUGAUUCAGAUAAUUCAUAUUAAGACAAUGGUUAUGGGUCCCCGACGACGCCCGAGGGCAGCCGCCGAAGCAACAUGGUAUGUUCACAGGGGUUUGGGAGUUGUAAACUCGAUAAUGAUCCCUCCGCUGGUUCACCAACGGAGA
This 160-nucleotide unclassified non-coding RNA is filed under the name uncultured fungus. Its description in RNAcentral is "sequence contains ITS1". The record is from RNAcentral. Lineage: Eukaryota; Fungi.